Molecule: ribosomal RNA, 253 nt
Filed under: uncultured bacterium
Lineage: Bacteria
Description: partial 16S ribosomal RNA
Rfam family: Bacterial small subunit ribosomal RNA
Source: RNAcentral
UACGAAGGGGGCGAGCGUUGUUCGGAAUUACUGGGCGUAAAGGGCGCGUAGGCGGCGACUCAAGUUAGAUGUGAAAGCCCUGGGCUCAACCUAGGAAGUGCAUUCGAUACUGCGGAGCUGGAGUCCUGGAGAGGAAGGCGGAAUUCUCGGUGUAGAGGUGAAAUUCGUAGAUAUCGAGAGGAACACCGGUGGCGAAGGCGGCCUUCUGGACAGUGACUGACGCUGAGACGCGAAAGCGUGGGGAGCAAACAGG